This 492-nucleotide ribosomal RNA is filed under the name uncultured bacterium. RNAcentral's name for it is "partial 16S ribosomal RNA". It matches the Rfam family "Bacterial small subunit ribosomal RNA", at positions 29 to 507 of the family's 1533-position model. The record is from RNAcentral.
AGUGAACGCUGGCGGUAGGCCUAACACAUGCAAGUCGAACGGCAGCACAGUAAGAGCUUGCUCUUACGGGUGGCGAGUGGCGGACGGGUGAGGAAUACAUCGGAAUCUACUUUUUCGUGGGGGAUAACGUAGGGAAACUUACGCUAAUACCGCAUACGACCUACGGGUGAAAGCAGGGGAUCUUCGGACCUUGCGCGAUUGAAUGAGCCGAUGUCGGAUUAGCUAGUUGGCGGGGUAAAGGCCCACCAAGGCGACGAUCCGUGGCUGGUCUGAGAGGAUGAUCAGCCACACUGGAACUGAGACACGGUCCAGACUCCCACGGGAGGCAGCAGUGGGGAAUAUUGGACAAUGGGCGCAAGCCUGAUCCAGCCAUACCGCGUGGGUGAAGAAGGCCUUCGGGUUGUAAAGCCCUUUUGUUGGGAAAGAAAAGCAGCAGGUUAAUACCCCGCUGUUCUGACGGUACCCAAAGAAUAAGCACCGGCUAACUUCGUG